UACGUAGGGUGCGAGCGUUAAUCGGAAUUACUGGGCGUAAAGUGUGCGCAGGCGGCCGCGCAAGUCGAGUGUGAAAUCCCCGAGCUUAACUUGGGAAUUGCGCUCGAAACUACGUGGCUGGAGUGUGGCAGAGGAAGGUGGAAUUCCACGUGUAGCGGUGAAAUGCGUAGAGAUGUGGAGGAACACCGAUGGCGAAGGCAGCCUUUUGGGCCAACACUGACGCUCAUGCACGAAAGCGUGGGGAGCAAACAGG
Molecule: ribosomal RNA, 253 nt
Filed under: uncultured bacterium
Lineage: Bacteria
Description: partial 16S ribosomal RNA
Rfam family: Bacterial small subunit ribosomal RNA
Source: RNAcentral